UUAAUAGAAGCUUAGAGCAUUUUACUGUUAAUAAAAUAUUAGAAUAUUUAUAUUCCUAUUAAG
This 63-nucleotide transfer RNA is filed under the name Colossendeis megalonyx. RNAcentral describes it as "tRNA-Asn". Lineage: Eukaryota; Metazoa; Arthropoda; Pycnogonida; Pantopoda; Colossendeidae. The record is from RNAcentral. RNAcentral also lists the same sequence under 2 other names.